This 216-nucleotide long non-coding RNA is filed under the name Homo sapiens (human). RNAcentral describes it as "non-protein coding lnc-DEPP1-1:1". The record is from RNAcentral. Lineage: Eukaryota; Metazoa; Chordata; Mammalia; Primates; Hominidae.
CCUGAAAUAAAAUUCAUUAGUUGUUAGUGAUGGAGCUUAUAGACGUUUCUGGUUUAUAUAGUUAAGCCUGCCUGCAGUCAGGUGUCUGAGACCCCUUCUCACAGCCCAUGUGUGACAGUGUAUGGGCUUUUCUCACGAGCAGAUUAGAUCUGCAGCUCAAGUUUUUGGAUCUUUUUUUUUUUUUUUUAACCCGAUUGAAAUAGCAGUGCUGGUUUU